UUAUUUUACUAGAGCAAACUAGAAGUUCUGUGGUUUAUGAUGGAACUUGGUUCAAGAACUGUUGUCUAGAGAAAAGGAAACAAAACAUCAUCCAAAGAUUCCAGUUGUGUCCCCUUGAGAAGUUUAUUUUGAUUUGAAAUGGAAAGAUCGAAGUGGACAAAUUUUAGAUUUCAUCUAAAGAUUCAACAUGGUUCCUAAGGAACAACUAUGAAGUUUAGGUCCCACUUCAAACAGGAAGAGAAACACCAUGUAUCUGAGAACCCAGAAGAGGAAAAGAGGCUUUAUGAAGAAAAAACAGAGCACAGCUAUAAAGAGUCAGAUGGCUAACAUCUGGACUGUUUGAAAUUCAGCUGGACAUGCGGCUGUGUGAAUUACAAAGAAUGUUUCCUAAAAUGC
Molecule: long non-coding RNA, 396 nt
Filed under: Monodelphis domestica (gray short-tailed opossum)
Lineage: Eukaryota; Metazoa; Chordata; Mammalia; Didelphimorphia; Didelphidae
Description: lncRNA (ENSMODG00000034786.2)
Source: RNAcentral